GCGGGUGUGGCGGAACUGGUAGACGCCCCGGAUUUAGGUUCCGGUACUGCAAGGUGUGGAGGUUCGAAUCCUCUCACCCGCACCA
RNAcentral lists this transfer RNA (85 nucleotides) under Agrobacterium rubi. Its description in RNAcentral is "tRNA-Leu". It matches the Rfam family "tRNA". From Rfam's summary of the family: Transfer RNA (tRNA) molecules are approximately 80 nucleotides in length. Their secondary structure includes four short double-helical elements and three loops (D, anti-codon, and T loops). Further hydrogen bonds mediate the characteristic L-shaped molecular structure. tRNAs have two regions of fundamental functional importance: the anti-codon, which is responsible for specific mRNA codon recognition, and the 3' end, to which the tRNAs corresponding amino acid is attached (by aminoacyl-tRNA synthetases). tRNAs cope with the degeneracy of the genetic code in two manners: having more than one tRNA (with a specific anti-codon) for a particular amino acid; and 'wobble' base-pairing, i.e. permitting non-standard base-pairing at the 3rd anti-codon position. The record is from RNAcentral. Lineage: Bacteria; Pseudomonadati; Pseudomonadota; Alphaproteobacteria; Hyphomicrobiales; Rhizobiaceae.